This 464-nucleotide ribosomal RNA is filed under the name uncultured bacterium. RNAcentral's name for it is "partial 16S ribosomal RNA". It matches the Rfam family "Bacterial small subunit ribosomal RNA", at positions 28 to 507 of the family's 1533-position model. The record is from RNAcentral.
GACGAACGCUGGCGGCGUGCUUAACACAUGCAAGUCGAACGGAAAGGCCCUGCUUGCAGGGUACUCGAGUGGCGAACGGGUGAGUAACACGUGGGUGAUCUGCCCUGCACUUCGGGAUAAGCCUGGGAAACUGGGUCUAAUACCGGAUAGGAGCCAUCUUUAGUGUGAUGGUUGGAAAGUUUGUUCGGUGUAGGAUGAGCUCGCGGCCUAUCAGCUUGCUGGUGGGGUAAUGGCCUACCAAGGCGGCGACGGGUAGCCGGCCUGAGAGGGUGGACGGCCACAUUGGGACUGAGGUACGGCGCAGACUCCUACGGGAGGCAGCAGUGGGGAAUAUUGCACGAUGGGCGCAAGCCUGAUGCAGCGACGCCGCGUGGGGGAUGACGGCCUUCGGGUUGUAAACUCCUUUCGCUAGGGACGAAGCUUUUGUGACGGUACCUAGAUAAGAAGCACCGGCUAACUACGUG